UACUUCAUAGUGUAGAUGGUUAUCACGCUAGGCUUUCACCCUAGAGGUACGUAUUCUACGCAUCUUCGCGCCCAUCGCACGUGAACACGCGAACGGACACGUUGACACCAAAAAUUGUGAACGCGACACUGACGGACACGCCACGCGCUUCCACGAACAGACUCGGGUUCGAAUCCCGGUGAGGUAA
Molecule: transfer RNA, 187 nt
Organism: Ostreococcus lucimarinus CCE9901
Lineage: Eukaryota; Viridiplantae; Chlorophyta; Mamiellophyceae; Mamiellales; Bathycoccaceae
Rfam family: tRNA
About the family: Transfer RNA (tRNA) molecules are approximately 80 nucleotides in length. Their secondary structure includes four short double-helical elements and three loops (D, anti-codon, and T loops).
Source: Rfam